Molecule: ribosomal RNA, 419 nt
Filed under: bacterium
Lineage: Bacteria
Description: partial 16S ribosomal RNA
Rfam family: Bacterial small subunit ribosomal RNA
Source: RNAcentral
UGGGGGAUAUUGCACAAUGGGCGAAAGCCUGAUGCAGCGACGCCGCGUGGGGGAUGAAGGCCUUCGGGUUGUAAACUUCUUUUGCUCUGAACAAGGCAUGCUAAUGGGUGUGUUGAGUGUAGGGGUUGAUUAGCGCCGGCUAACUACGUGCCAGCAGCCGCGGUAAUACGUAGGGCGCGAGCGUUGUCCGGAAUUAUUGGGCGUAAAGGGCUUGUAGGUGGCUGGUUGCGUCUGUCGUGAAAGCUCAUGGCUUAACUGUGGGAUUGCGGUGGGUACGGGCUGGCUUGAGUGCAGUAGGGGAGGCUGGAAUUCCUGGUGUAGCGGUGGAAUGCGCAGAUAUCAGGAGGAAUACCGGUGGCGAAGGCGGGGCUCUGGGCUGUUACUGACACUGAGGAGCGUAAGCAUGGGGAGCGAACAGG